This 505-nucleotide small RNA is filed under the name Pan troglodytes (chimpanzee). Its description in RNAcentral is "retained intron". Lineage: Eukaryota; Metazoa; Chordata; Mammalia; Primates; Hominidae. The record is from RNAcentral.
CAUUCUACCUUUUUCUACAAUGAAUCCACCAGCAGAAAUUCCUGUACACAUCUUAUCAACAAAGAAUUUGAACCUCAAAGAGUGGCUCAAAGAGGUCAGGAGGCACCUUCAACACUUUUGUUGGAGAUCUCCUUGUCUAGAUCAUCAGAUUCUCACUCUGUCACCUAGGCUGCAGUGCAGUGGUGCGAUCUCAACUCACUGCAACCUCUACCUCCUGGGUUCAAGCAAUUCUCCUGCCUCAGCCUCCCAAGUAGCUGGGAUUACAGGUGAGCGCCACCACGCCUGGCUAAUUUUUGUAUUUUUAGUAGAAACAAACAGGGUUUCUCCAUGUUGGCUAGGCUGGUCUCAAACUCCUUACCUCAGGUGAUCCACCUUGCCUCAGCCUCCCAAAGUGCUGCAGUUACAGGCGUAAGCCACUGCCUGGCCUAAGAUAUUUAUUUUAAAUUGUAUUUAUGGUUAGAAAAAAUAUUCAUUUAUAGUGAUGUAAAUUAUCUGAUUGAUUAAA